CGUUUUUCUGCUCAGUGGGUCGGUGCAUCUGGCUAUUAAGCAGAAGGUUGGUGGUUCAAGCCCACCCAGAGACGG
Non-coding RNA from Podarcis lilfordi (Lilford's wall lizard), 75 nucleotides. NCBI's taxonomy places the organism in Eukaryota, Metazoa, Chordata, Lepidosauria, Squamata, Lacertidae. The record is from the annotation of a GenBank genome assembly.